RNAcentral lists this ribosomal RNA (290 nucleotides) under Enterococcus faecalis. RNAcentral's name for it is "partial 16S rRNA". It matches the Rfam family "Bacterial small subunit ribosomal RNA", at positions 34 to 302 of the family's 1533-position model. Lineage: Bacteria; Bacillati; Bacillota; Bacilli; Lactobacillales; Enterococcaceae. The record is from RNAcentral.
CGCUGGCGGCGUGCCUAAUACAUGCAAGUCGAACGCUUCUUUCCUCCCGAGUGCUUGCACUCAAUUGGAAAGAGGAGUGGCGGACGGGUGAGUAACACGUGGGUAACCUACCCAUCAGAGGGGGAUAACACUUGGAAACAGGUGCUAAUACCGCAUAACAGUUUAUGCCGCAUGGCAUAAGAGUGAAAGGCGCUUUCGGGUGUCGCUGAUGGAUGGACCCGCGGUGCAUUAGCUAGUUGGUGAGGUAACGGCUCACCAAGGCCACGAUGCAUAGCCGACCUGAGAGGGUG